GGUCCCAACCUCUUGAAGUUGGCCAGGAAGGAACAGUGUUUGGCUCUUGGAACUAGACUCAGGUCCAAGUACAAGAUCAAUUACCAGUUCUACAGGGUCUUCCCCAAUGGGGAGGUCCAGUACUUGCACCCCAAGGAUGGUGUCUACCCUGAGAAGGUCAACCCGGGACGCCAAGGGGUUGGCCAAAACUUCAGGUCUAUUGGUAAGAAUGUUAGUCCCAUCGAGGUCAAGUUCACCGGCAAACAACCCUACGAUUUGUAAGCACCACGUGCUUCAUUCAUGCUAUCUGCUCAUGUACUUAUUGUCAAAUUUAUGCCACAAAUGCUAAAC
This 330-nucleotide long non-coding RNA is filed under the name Phaseolus vulgaris (common bean). RNAcentral's name for it is "long non-coding RNA (PVUL_LNC002006)". The record is from RNAcentral. Lineage: Eukaryota; Viridiplantae; Streptophyta; Magnoliopsida; Fabales; Fabaceae.